RNAcentral lists this long non-coding RNA (5056 nucleotides) under Marmota monax (woodchuck). The record is from RNAcentral. Lineage: Eukaryota; Metazoa; Chordata; Mammalia; Rodentia; Sciuridae.
GUGCUCACGAGUGACUGCUGGCUCUCAAGGUCAGCUCGGAGUGCUUUCAGAGGGGACUUGUUUAUCAUCUGUGCAGGCCCAGCUCCGAGGCCCUUGGGAACCAGGGAAUGCCUUGCUAGGACUGGCCCUCCCAACUGCCCGCCUUCUCGGCUCUGCAAAGCUUUGUUCUUUAUUGUCAUGCUACCCGUGUGGCUUGUGGGCGUAGAAAUGAUCUGCCCUGAUGGAAUCUGGGAGGAGGAAUGACCACCUGUGCGUUCCCUUCGUAAAGCCCAAGAGACAGAGGCUCGGAGAGGCUGAGUGAGUGGAAGAGGGCACAGAGGGGAGGAGCUGUGGCAGAGAGAGGUGGCUUUGGGGAAAGAAGCUUACUAAGUAAUUAGUAAACAAAGGAGAUUGUAAGUGGGUGGGUGUGGGGCAGAGGAGCAAGGGCCAGGCCCACUGGAGAAGCAGCUCUGGCUCUUUACCAUCCGCAGGAGUGUGUGUGCGCGCGCGCGCGCGCGCGCGCGCGUGUGUGUGUGUGUGUGUGUGUGUGUGUGUGUGUGUGUGUGAACGAUUGGCAUGGUUUCUUCUGGCCAUUAGAAACCACCAGGGAGAACUCCUUGCCGGCAGCAUCCCACAGCACUCAUAUGACUGAUGACCUGGGAAAUAACCCCACUCUACUCACUUAAGGACACUAACUAGAGGCUGCACUAUCUGACACCCGCCUCCUUCUGCAAUGUUGAGUGCUGACUUCAGCGUUUGAGCCUGAGCUAACCUCUAGCUCCUUGUCCACUUUUGCCUUGAGUUUGAAUUCUGCGUUGAGUGUGUGGUGUGACCACCAGUGACUGCUAGGGAGCAUCUGUUUUAGCAGAUCCCCAUGACCUGUUGGGUGAAGGAUGAAGGGUGGGUUUUCUGGCACUGGUUCUUUUAAUAAUGACACAUUUUAUUCAGCAGCUUAGACUUUUCAACUAGAACACUACACGGUGACCUCGAUACCUUGUCUUCUCCAUGAUGGGACCUGUUGGCUAGAGCUAUUGGGUCAGGUCCCUUACAGUAUUUUUCCCUUUGGUGGGUGCUGGAGGAGUCUCAGAUGCUGUGUGUCCUCUACAGCUGCCCACCUCAGGUUGUCAGGAUGUCCCAUCAACCAGACGAAAGUGCCCCCAGCUGCUGCUGGUUACAGAUUUCACAUAUUUGGGGUCAUCCACUGUGGUAGAUUCUAUUGAGACGGACAUUUUGGAAGGAAGCCCUGAGUAAAUUAGCUGAGUCUGAUGUUCAAAGAAGAAGGAAGGAGUGGAUUUCUUGAUGACAAUGGAUGGUCGAUUUUGACCUUGGUAAAAGAUAUCCAUGUCUUUAAUUAAAAAAAAAAAAUCACUCCUUACAGAAAUUUGCAAGGAGGAUACCUCUGUAGAGAUUUUUCAUCCAAGUUUUAGCAUUUCAGAUGUUAUCAACCAACUCUUUUCCCACUCUAGGUAGUUGGGCUUAUCACUCUUAAAGGAAGAAUCGUGCAUCCAGAGAUAAUGGCUUGCCAGAGGCAGGAUUAGCUGUACUUAUCCAAAGGAGAAAAUUAGGUUUGGGAACUGUAAUGACCAUGAGCUAUCGUUGCUGGAAAUAGCUUACCAGCACUGUAGGCCAACCCUCAACCCCCUCACCCUUCAGACUCUCCAUCUCACAGUCCUCCCCGUGACAGCAGGGUGGCAUUGUGACUACAACAAAGAAAACUGGUUCCUGGGAAUAAGACCGGACGGAACACCCACGUCUCCCAGGGGCAUUUGGAUUUCAGAACUGUUUUGUGGCACGUCUUGUUUAAAUAUAUGAUUGUUAAAAAUUCAUGUGAAUUCCUAGAGAAUUUUAAAGUGAAUCGAUAGCAUUUGGAAACCAAGGAAGGAACCUUAAAGAAAAAGGGAAAGUAAUGGUGGGAGAAGGGAGAAUAGAGUACAGGGACACCAGCUGUCUGCCUGUUAACACCAGUUACCUUUCUGAUUCUGCAUUUCUCUGCAGAAUCUUCAUGAACCAGGAGUGCUCAUGAUGUGAAGAUGGGGGACCUGGAGGAGCACCAUGUGGGGGUGCGGUGGACCUUCAGUUCCUGCUCUGCUAGUGGCUGUUUGACCUUAGCUAAGUCACUGGUCCUGGCCUUUGUCUUCUCAUCCUUAAAACAAGAGUUGGAUGAGGAUCCAUCCAGCUCAGGAGGCCUGGGAUCUGUGAUGUGACUUAUGUGGCUCAAUUCCCAGUGGAACGAGCCUCCCCAGAGUGGGGGAUGUCUUGCCUUCACCUGGUUCUGGGUGUGCCAGUGCUUCUCCUCGGUAACACUCAGACAGUGGCUUCUGGGCAACCAGCAUCGCUUACUGGUCCACAUUCGUCCUUUGAUAUCUGGGGCAGGGGGAUUGUUCCAGGAUUCGUGUAGAUAUCCAAAUUUGCAGAUGCUCAGGUCCCUGCACUAUAUAAAACAGUGUAGAAUUUGUAUAUAACGUGUGCACACCCUCACAUAGACUUUAGAUCAUCUCUUGCUUACUUACAAUACCAAAUUCAAUGUAGAGGCUAUGCAAAUAGUUGUUAAACUGUAUUGCUCAGGGAAUAUUGACAAGAAGAAGUCUCUGUAUAUUUAGGACAGAUGGAAUUUUUUUUUUUCUCUCGAAUGUUUUUAAUCUUUGGUUGGUCAAAUUCACAAAUGCAGAAAGAACAUUUAGGGAGGACCACUGCAGAGUGUUAUCUAGUAUGUCUCAUGAGGGCUGGCUCCUUCUUGACCUCGCUUUCCCCAUUUUUCUAUGCAGGAUUGAAAUCUUUCAGAAGUUCUGUUCUCUGAGAUAACACACACACACACACAGACACACACACACACAAACCAAAACCAAAACCAAAACUAAAACAAACAAAACUCCAACAUAGGAUGGAAGAAAUCGGAGAUGGAAGGGGAGCUCUAAGUCGAGAGGCUUACGAGAUCUCACCCAGGGACAGAUUCUGGGUGAGAAUCUCUUGUGAUUCAAACAAACAGAUUAUAAAAGACAAACAAAAGCUGACAUUCAUGAGUCAGUUGUGGUUUGAACACUUAGUAGACACUGGAUCUUAAGGAAUUAUUGGUGAUUAUUUUAGCUGUUGCAACAGUAUCACGUUGUGCUUGGGAAAGUGUCCUUAUCCUUUGGAGAAACAGCUGACAUGCUUGCAGAUAAAAUGAGAUGAUACCAAGGGCAGCUAGUGAGCAGGAUGCAGAUGACGCACGUGGGCCACAGGCUGACAGUUAUCAGAGCUGAGUGACGGGUACCCAGGGGUUAAUGGUACUAUUUGGUCCAUUUUGGUAUAAGUUUUGUAAUUUUCAUAAUAAAAAAUGUAAAAUAUAAAACCCCCAAAGGCUUGCCAGGAUUCAUCUACUGGGGCACAUUUGCCGGGGUGUAGGGAAGGUCUCGCUGUCAUCGCUGCAUAAUCGUUGGGGGUAAAUAUGGAAGUUUAUCAAUCAGAAAGGCUGCAGCGAGGCGUGCUAGCUGGCAGUGGUCCCAGCUCUGUGUGGCUGCCAUCUAGCCUUGAGGCCCACUUGCCCUCUAUAAAUAACAGGCUAUGUGAAUGCUUUACUAUUUUAACGCACACUUGCCACAGCUGCGGAUCAUGUUUGUUUACGUAGCUGUGAAGCCUUCUGUAAACAUCACUAUCUCAAAAUUGCCCAUGUGUCAGGAACAUAAAGGGCCCCCUUUAAAAAUAUAGUUGCAGAUGAGAUGCAGCCAGCUCCUGGAUGUCUGGGUGGCUGGUGUCAGAAUUUUCCAGGGUUUGAUUCAUUUUCAAAAAUAGAAUCACAUGACAGGAAUGGUCUCCGGAGGUCGUCUCCAACAUCUCUCGGCAGGACCAGGUCUAGAGCACCCCUCUGACUUCAGGCCGCAGCAGAACGAAGGUACCUGUGGAGCAUGUGGGUCUGUCCUUUAGGAGUGUGAGUUUGUCUUUUACCAGCUCCUUCGAGACAUUGAGGAUGAGCAAGCCUGGUGUCCUGCCUUCCAGGGGCAGCAGACAGAGGAACCCAAGUGGUCCACCACUGUAGGGCAGCUCCAGGUCAGGGUCACUGUGUGCCCACUGCAUGCAUGAUAGGAAGGGUGUGUUGAGGCCACGAUGCUGCCUGGCAGAUGUCCCCUCAUCCAGACCACGGAACGUCACUUAAGGUCAGCUAAGAAUAUUCUGAAGGAAGUCAUGAGAACAGCAGAAGCCGUUUGGUGUCAGCUUGCUGUUUUCAUGGCUCCGGAUUUCCAGCCUGCACUACAAUGAAUAAUUAGUUCCUUGUGAAUUUGUUUUCCUCGAGUGUGCAUUUGGUCCACAUUGUUUUUCCUGUGGCUUUGAUAUAUUGAACAUUGUUCCUCCCUAAGGGCCUGUUUAGUGCCCAUAAAUCCCAACUGUGGUUUUCAUUCACAAAGAAAAAGCAUCCUGCUGUAACCUAAGAGAUCGGUAGCACUGGAAGUGCUGAAUUGUAUGAAUCCCACGAGGGAAGGACCAAGACACGUCCAGCUUCCAGACACUUCAAGAACAUUCUAGAACACCUCUCCUCCACUUCCUAAAAAUAGAGAAAACUAUUUUUUUCCCCCAAAGGAAAUAGAUAGUGGUUGCCUUUUCUCAGGGACAGGGGCAAGAAUCUUGAUUCUUUUGCUGGCAACUACCCAGGGUUCCCUAAGCAAGCCUUGGAAAAGGCCUCCCAGCCCUCAGAGGCAAGUAUCACUGCUAAUUACCAAGAAAAAGAGGUUUCUUGCUUUGGAUUGUGUCACUCAUUACAAGCUGUCAUCGGAAAGACAGGGUCCGCCCCAGGGAGAAUUCCCACUCAGGUAUAUCACAGAGAAAAUCAGCUGACUCCAAAUUCAUUUAGUUUUUGAGACCAGGCCUUGGUUUGAGGGAGUGCAAAGCCCUUUCUGUAAUUUGAAGCUGAGGUUAACAUCAGUGAUCAGUCUCCAGCGGCUGCUGCUUCUCGAGCUCAGUGAUGCAAUGAGGAGCCUCACCUCCCUCCUGUCCCACGGGAGAAUCCUCAGAGAGAAUCUGAUACAGAGACUUCACUGGAUAAUGAAGUCGGCCAAUUGUACCACGGGUGUGUAUGAAUUUAUCACAACAAGUCCCACUUUUA